UACGUAGGGUGCAAGCGUUGCCCGGAUUUAUUGGGCGUAAAGAGCUCGUAGGCGGUCUGUCGCGUCUGCUGUGAAAUCCCGAGGCUCAACCUCGGGCUUGCAGUGGGUACGGGCAGGCUAGAGUGCGGUAGGGGAGAAUGGAACUCCUGGUGUAGCGGUGGAAUGCGCAGAUAUCAGGAAGAACACCGAUGGCGAAGGCAGUUCUCUGGGCCGUAACUGACGCUGAGGAGCGAAAGCGUGGGGAGCGAACAGG
RNAcentral lists this ribosomal RNA (253 nucleotides) under uncultured bacterium. RNAcentral describes it as "partial 16S ribosomal RNA". It matches the Rfam family "Bacterial small subunit ribosomal RNA", at positions 524 to 776 of the family's 1533-position model. The record is from RNAcentral.